GCCUAUAGCCAUGCUACUCUGAACAAGCCCAAUCCCGUCUGAUCUCAGAAACUAAGCAGAUUUGGGCCUGGUUAGUACUUGGAUGGGAGACCUAGGAAGACCAGGUGCUGUAGGUG
This 116-nucleotide ribosomal RNA is filed under the name Pteropus alecto (black flying fox). Lineage: Eukaryota; Metazoa; Chordata; Mammalia; Chiroptera; Pteropodidae. The record is from RNAcentral.